Molecule: ribosomal RNA, 505 nt
Filed under: uncultured Klebsiella sp.
Lineage: Bacteria; Pseudomonadati; Pseudomonadota; Gammaproteobacteria; Enterobacterales; Enterobacteriaceae
Description: bacterial SSU rRNA
Rfam family: Bacterial small subunit ribosomal RNA
Source: RNAcentral
AGCGGUAGCACAGAGAGCUUGCUCUCGGGUGACGAGCGGCGGACGGGUGAGUAAUGUCUGGGAAACUGCCUGAUGGAGGGGGAUAACUACUGGAAACGGUAGCUAAUACCGCAUAAUGUCGCAAGACCAAAGUGGGGGACCUUCGGGCCUCAUGCCAUCAGAUGUGCCCAGAUGGGAUUAGCUAGUAGGUGGGGUAACGGCUCACCUAGGCGACGAUCCCUAGCUGGUCUGAGAGGAUGACCAGCCACACUGGAACUGAGACACGGUCCAGACUCCUACGGGAGGCAGCAGUGGGGAAUAUUGCACAAUGGGCGCAAGCCUGAUGCAGCCAUGCCGCGUGUGUGAAGAAGGCCUUCGGGUUGUAAAGCACUUUCAGCGGGGAGGAAGGCGGUAAGGUUAAUAACCUCGUCGAUUGACGUUACCCGCAGAAGAAGCACCGGCUAACUCCGUGCCAGCAGCCGCGGUAAUACGGAGGGUGCAAGCGUUAAUCGGAAUUACUGGGCGU